GGUGAAGCUAUUGGUAUGGGUUUUCCUGUGAAAGUUCCCUACAGGAAAAUCACAAUUAACCCUGGCUGUGUGGUGGUUGAUGGCAUGCCCCCGGGGGUGUCCUUCAAAGCCCCCAGCUACCUGGAAAUCAGCUCCAUGAGAAGGAUCUUAGACUCUGCCGAGUUUAUCAAAUUCACGGUCAUUAGACCAUUUCCAGGACUUGUGAUUAAUAACCGUGAGUAUUUUGUGAAGUGUUUUGUUUUUGUUUUUUCCUGGGGUCUGACGUGUGUGCGUGUGAGUGUGUAUACAUGCUUAACAUAUAUCACGUUACUUCACCUAUGUCAGUAACCAUGGCAAAUACUUGUUUUAGCCCUCAGUAAAAACACCAGGCACUUCCUAGUUGUAAAAUUAUUCAAGCUUCUUAACUUCCUAUCCUCGAUGCACUUAAUCAUAAAAUGGUAAUAAUAGCACCGAUUUUGGGGGAGUCGUUCCAGUAGAUGGAAAGCAUCUGGAACAGGUGUCAGCAAGCUCCUGCCGACGUGUAUGCAUAAAGUUUUAUUGAAACCACCAUCGUGU
Molecule: small RNA, 555 nt
Filed under: Pan troglodytes (chimpanzee)
Lineage: Eukaryota; Metazoa; Chordata; Mammalia; Primates; Hominidae
Description: retained intron
Source: RNAcentral